AGCUUUAUAUUCAAUAAAAUGAUUGUAGAAUGCAAUUCUAUAGGAGUGUAAAUGUUCAUCACUAAGGCUU
Molecule: transfer RNA, 70 nt
Filed under: Balta sp. Cairns, Australia
Lineage: Eukaryota; Metazoa; Arthropoda; Insecta; Blattodea; Pseudophyllodromiidae
Description: tRNA-Cys
Source: RNAcentral